RNAcentral lists this ribosomal RNA (447 nucleotides) under uncultured Acidovorax sp. RNAcentral describes it as "bacterial SSU rRNA". It matches the Rfam family "Bacterial small subunit ribosomal RNA", at positions 933 to 1382 of the family's 1533-position model. Lineage: Bacteria; Pseudomonadati; Pseudomonadota; Betaproteobacteria; Burkholderiales; Comamonadaceae. The record is from RNAcentral.
UGGAUGAUGUGGUUUAAUUCGAUGCAACGCGAAAACCUUACCACCUUUGACAUGUACGGAAUCCUUUAGAGAUAGAGGAGUGCUCGAAAGAGAGCCGUAACACAGGUGCUGCAUGGCUGUCGUCAGCUCGUGUCGUGAGAUGUUGGGUUAAGUCCCGCAACGAGCGCAACCCUUGUCAUUAGUUGCUACAUUCAGUUGGGCAUUCUAAUGAGACUGCCGGUGACAAACCGGAGGAAGGUGGGGAUGACGUCAAGUCCUCAUGGCCCUUAUAGGUGGGGCUACACACGUCAUACAAUGGAUGGUACAAAGGGUCGCCAACCCGCGAGGGGGAGCCAAUCCCAUAAAGCCAUUCGUAGUCCGGAUCGCAGUCUGCAACUCGACUGCGUGAAGUCGGAAUCGCUAGUAAUCGUGGAUCAGAAUGUCACGGUGAAUACGUUCCCGGGUCUU